CCUACGGGGGGCAGCAGUGGGGAAUUUUGGACAAUGGGCGAAAGCCUGAUCCAGCAAUGCCGCGUGCAGGAUGAAGGCCUUCGGGUUGUAAACUGCUUUUGUACGGAACGAAAAGGCUCUGGCUAAUACCUGGGGCACAUGACGGUACCGUAAGAAUAAGCACCGGCUAACUACGUGCCAGCAGCCGCGGUAAUACGUAGGGUGCGAGCGUUAAUCGGAAUUACUGGGCGUAAAGCGUGCGCAGGCGGUUUUGUAAGACAGAGGUGAAAUCCCCG
RNAcentral lists this ribosomal RNA (275 nucleotides) under uncultured bacterium. Its description in RNAcentral is "partial 16S ribosomal RNA". It matches the Rfam family "Bacterial small subunit ribosomal RNA", at positions 338 to 605 of the family's 1533-position model. The record is from RNAcentral.